GAUGAAGAACGUAGCGAAAUGCGAUACGUAAUGUGAAUUGCAGAAUUCCGUGAAUCAUCGAAUCUUUGAACGCACAUUGCGCCCGCCAGUAUUCUGGCGGGCAUGCCUGUUCGAGCGUCAUUUCAACCAUCAAGCCCUGCUUGCGUUGGGGUCCUGCGGCUGCCCGCAGGCCCUGAAAACCAGUGGCGGGCUCGCUAGUCACACCGAGCGCAGUAAUACAUCUCGCUUUGGGCGUGCGGCGGGUUCUUGCCGUUAAACACCCCCUUUUUACCAAGGUUGACCUCGGAUCAGGUAGGAAUACCCGCUGAACUUAAGCAUAUCAAUAAGCGGAGGA
Molecule: unclassified non-coding RNA, 334 nt
Filed under: soil metagenome
Description: partial contains 5.8S ribosomal RNA, internal transcribed spacer 2, and large subunit ribosomal RNA
Rfam family: 5.8S ribosomal RNA (bases 1-120)
Source: RNAcentral